CCCACUAUGCAAGUCGAGCGGUAAGGCCCUUCGGGGUACACGAGCGGCGAACGGGUGAGUAACACGUGGGUAACCUGCCCUGUACUUGGGAUAAGCCUGGGAAACUAGGUCUAAUACCGGAUAUGAACCUUCCCUGCAUGGGUUGGUUGGAAAGUUCCGGCGGUACAGGAUGGACCGCGGCCUAUCAGCUUGUUGGUGGGGUAAUGGCCUACCAAGGCGACGACGGGUAGCCGGCCUGAGAGGGUGACCGGCCACACUGGGACUGAGACACGGCCCAGACUCCUACGGGGAGGCAGCAGUGGGGAAUAUUGCACAAUGGGCGAAAGCCUGAUGCAGCGACGCCGCGUGAGGGAUGACGGCCUUCGGGUUGAAACCUCUUUCAGCAGGGACGAAGCGCAAGUGACGGUACCUGCAGAAGAAGCACCGGCUAACUACGUGCCAGCAGCGCGGUAAUACGUAGGGUGCGAGCGUUGUCCGGAAUUAUUGGGCGUAAAGAGCUCGUAGGCGGUUUGUCGCGUCGGCCGUGAAAAACUUGGGGCUUAACCCCGAGCUUGCGGUCGAUACGGGCAGACUUGAGUUCGGCAGGGGAGACUGGAAUUCCUGGUGUAGCGGUGAAAUGCGCAGAUAUCAGGAGGAACACCGGUGGCGAAGGCGGGUCUCUGGGCCGAUACUGACGCUGAGGAGCGAAAGCGUGGGGAGCGAACAGGAUUAGAUACCCUGGUAGUCCACGCGUAAACGGUGGGUGCUAGGUGUGGGGGACUUCCACGUCCUCCGUGCCGCAGCUAACGCAUUAAGCACCCCGCCUGGGGGAGUACGGCCGCAAGGCUAAAACUCAAAGGAAUUGACGGGGGCCCGCACAAGCGGCGGAGCAUGUGGAUUAAUUCGAUGCAACGCGAAGAACCUUACCUGGGCUUGACAUGCACUGGAACCAGUAGAGAUAUUGGCCCCCUUGUGGCCGGUGUACAGGUGGUGCAUGGCUGUCGUCGCUCGUGUCGUGAGAUGUUGGGGUUAAGUCCCGCAAGAGCGCAACCCUCGUUCCAUGUUGCCAGCGCGUAAUGGCGGGGACUCAUGGGAGACUGCCGGGGUCAACUCGGAGGAAGGUGGGGAUUGACGUCAAGUCAUCAUGCCCCUUAUGUCCAGGGCUUCACACAUGCUACAAUGGCCGGUACAAAGGGCUGCUAAGCCGUGAGGUGGAGCGAAUCCCAUAAAGCCGGUCUCAGUUCGGAUCGGGGUCUUGCAACUCGACCCCGUGAAGUCGGAGUCGUAGUAAUCGCAGAUCAGCAACGCUGCGGUGAAUACGUUCCCGGGCCUUGUACACACCGCCCGUCACGUCACGAAAGUCGGUAACACCCGAAGCCCGUGGCCCAACCCGCAAGGGGGGAGCGGUUUAUU
RNAcentral lists this ribosomal RNA (1392 nucleotides) under Actinosynnema sp. Its description in RNAcentral is "bacterial SSU rRNA". It matches the Rfam family "Bacterial small subunit ribosomal RNA". The record is from RNAcentral. Lineage: Bacteria; Bacillati; Actinomycetota; Actinomycetes; Pseudonocardiales; Pseudonocardiaceae.